Molecule: long non-coding RNA, 787 nt
Filed under: Gossypium barbadense (sea-island cotton)
Lineage: Eukaryota; Viridiplantae; Streptophyta; Magnoliopsida; Malvales; Malvaceae
Description: long non-coding RNA (GBAR_LNC005409)
Source: RNAcentral
GCUGAUCAAAAAAUGGUUGGACGGUUAAAGGAAAUCUCUAUUGCCAAUCAUUUAGCAAGUUCUACCGGGAAAGACAGCUAAGAAGUAAUCCUCAAGAAACAUAACGCAACUUGAUAUAGGUCAGUUAAAGCUUGGUCAAUGAAGCAAAAAGUGAGUACUUACUUCACUAACAGAUAAUUAAAGACAGCUUACAAAUAACUAAAUACUAAAUAAUGCUUUAAGUUAUUAUAUGCUUGGAAACUAGAUGCACUAACAGUAAAAACGUGACAGAUAAAACAGUCACACAAAGCAAAGACAGCAUUCUCUACAUGUAAACUAGUGUAUCCCUAAUUCAUAAUAAAACCCAAUGUAAAGUCAAUCAAUAUCAUAUAUCAAGGGAAAUCAAUCAAGCAUACCCCAACAGAUGCCAAAACAUGAAGAUCAUGCUAAACAUUAAGAAUAACUCAAUGCUGACUACCUUAGGACUUAAAACCAUGCUAAUUGGACUUAUAUUUCAACACUCAACAUUGAAAACAAGGGCCCCUUCUUUCUCAUUAAAAGAUAGAAAUGAAGUAAAAUAAACACAGCAUAAUCAUUUUCUCAAAUGAAAAAUCAUACUCUUAAGGCAUAUAGAGGUCAUUGCAAUUAGGACUUCUUAAUAUUAUCAAUAUCAUAUAAAAUAUUAUCGUUCAGGUACAUAUACAUCGUUCAGGUGCAUAUAGAGGUCAUGCAAAAAUAAUAUACAUAUAAAAGCCUAGAUUGAAUAAUUAGGACCCAUCCAUCCCUGAAGAAAUCAUCAGUUUAAAGC